This 253-nucleotide ribosomal RNA is filed under the name uncultured bacterium. Its description in RNAcentral is "partial 16S ribosomal RNA". It matches the Rfam family "Bacterial small subunit ribosomal RNA", at positions 524 to 776 of the family's 1533-position model. The record is from RNAcentral.
UACGUAGGGUGCAAGCGUUGUCCGGAAUUAUUGGGCGUAAAGGGCUCGUAGGCGGUCCAUCACGUCGGGAGUGAAAAGCUGGGGCUUAACCCCAGUCCUGCUUCCGAUACGGGUGGACUAGAGGUAGGCAGGGGAGAACGGAAUUCCCGGUGUAGCGGUGAAAUGCGUAGAGAUCCGGAGGAACACCAAAGGCGAAGGCAGUGUCCUGGGGAGUACCUGACGCUCAGGUGCGAAAGCCAGGGGAGCGAACGGG